RNAcentral lists this long non-coding RNA (248 nucleotides) under Homo sapiens (human). RNAcentral's name for it is "non-protein coding lnc-ITM2C-2:3". The record is from RNAcentral. Lineage: Eukaryota; Metazoa; Chordata; Mammalia; Primates; Hominidae.
GCCUCAUCUCCCUCCCAGCUGCCAGGGAGGGACGGCUCCAUGGGCAGUGCCACGGGUGCCAGCUGCCCAGCCAGGAUGCAGGGACCAGGCAGUGGUGGUGAAGACAGAUGACAGUACCUGUCUCAGAAAACGUUGUUUUAGGAGUCGGCAUGGUAACAGGGAGCCACCAAGCUUCUCCCUGCAGUCAUCCUGCCCAUGGCUGUUGAUGGCCCUGAUGGGGCUUGGAGCCCCCAGAAUGUGCAGAAGUU